This 72-nucleotide transfer RNA is filed under the name Ovis aries (sheep). It matches the Rfam family "tRNA". From Rfam's summary of the family: Transfer RNA (tRNA) molecules are approximately 80 nucleotides in length. Their secondary structure includes four short double-helical elements and three loops (D, anti-codon, and T loops). Further hydrogen bonds mediate the characteristic L-shaped molecular structure. tRNAs have two regions of fundamental functional importance: the anti-codon, which is responsible for specific mRNA codon recognition, and the 3' end, to which the tRNAs corresponding amino acid is attached (by aminoacyl-tRNA synthetases). tRNAs cope with the degeneracy of the genetic code in two manners: having more than one tRNA (with a specific anti-codon) for a particular amino acid; and 'wobble' base-pairing, i.e. permitting non-standard base-pairing at the 3rd anti-codon position. The record is from Rfam by way of RNAcentral. Lineage: Eukaryota; Metazoa; Chordata; Mammalia; Artiodactyla; Bovidae.
UCCCUGCUGGCUGAGAAGUUAAAACGUCUGCCUGCAAUGCGGGAGACCUGGGUUCUAUCCCUGGGUGGGGAA